CACCCAUAAGGAAGGGGAGGGGGGAGGGGGAUGUUUGCCCGGAAACCGGGAAAGGGAAUAACACUCGAAAUGUAUAUAAGAAAUACUCAAGUUAAUAAAAAAAAAAGUGUUUAAUUUGGAAAAAAAAAAGAAUAUGGGUGUUAGUAUAUUGAAAGUCUGUAAGUUUAGCUAGCAAAAUUAACUCAGAACAACAAUAAAACCAAGAACAAUAUCCAUUAAUGCUAAGAAGAAAGAUCUAUCUAUCUAUCUAUCUAUCUAUCUAUCUAUCUAUCUAUCUAUCUAUCUAUCUAUCUCUAGCAUCCAUGUCAUCUCUCUAUCAUCUAUCUAUCAUCUGUGUCAUCUAUCUAUCUUACAACAAAAUCUUUAUAAUGUUAAUGAAAUUGAAAUGCAUCUACUAUGAUUAAAAAUACCCUGUUGCUAUACAUACUUCUCUCUUUCUUUCUCUCUGUCUCCGUCUCCGUCUCUGUAUCUCUCUCUGUCUCUGUCUCUGUCUCUGUCUCUCUCUCUCUCUCUCUCUCUCUGUGUGUGUGUGUGUGUGUGUGUGUGUGUGUGUGUGUGUGUUUUGCUUCUUUUAAUCAUCCAAUAAUGGCAGUUGGUUUCAGUGGUUAUGGUCUACUUUGGAGCACUCGGUCUUAUAUGGGAUUUCUUUAGCAAACCCUCAAGGCUCAGGGAUCGAUGCAGAAGGGGAGGUGGAAAGAAUGUCCUAGCAGAGGUGGUAGAUGACUCCAAAGUCAUAGUAUCUUCCAGACUCAGCAGGAUUGAUGAACAUAUGGACUCAGAUACUCUGGCAGUACACGUUGGGCCUGCACAGGUUCAAAUCAGACAUAAUGCCAGCAUUGAGAGGGGGAAAUGGAUACAACAUUAAUCUAGCCAAGAAUCUAUUUGCAAUUGAUACUGUCUUAGUUAGGGUCUUAUUGACAGGUUCAGAGGUUCAGUCCAUUAUCAUCAAGGUGGGAACAUGGCAGCAUCGCAGCAUCUAGACAGACAUGAUGCAGAAGGAGCUGAGUUCUACAUCUUCACCCGAAGGAAGCCAGGAACAGACUGAGCAUCCUCAGCUCAGCUAAUAGGAGCAGCUAGUAGGAGGGUCUCCAGGUCCACCCUCACAGUGACACACUUCCUCCAAGGCCACACCUUCUAAUAGUGCCACUCCUUGGGCCAAACAUAUGCAAACCAUACAGAUACCUUCUGGGGAAAGGAACAAUAAUUUUCCCCAAUGGAGAGUCAUUGUAUAUCAACCAAAUUCCAGGGCAAGCCCCAAGCCCAGGAGUAGUUGGCCAGCACAUGGAGUGUGUGUGUGUGUGUGAGUGUGUGUGUGUGUGUGUGUGUGCACGCGCGUGCUCGCGCGUGCUCGCGCGUGCUCUCUCUCUCUUUCUCUUACUGUUUUCUUCUGUUUUUUUUCCUUUUGUUAUUGUUUGUCUGUUUUGAUUUCAUUGUUGGUGGGUUUAUUUUUUUGAGAAAGAGAACAUGAAGUUUGUAGGUAGGGAGGUGGGGAGGAGUUGAGAGGAGGGGGAGGGAUAUGAUCAAAAUACUGUGUGUAAAAAAACCUUUUAAUAAAAAUUAAAAAAGAUAAAAGAAUACACAGAGGUGAUAGUCUCCUCUGCCUUUGAAUGUGCCAUUUGGAACUACUGUGGAGUCAACCACAUGGAGAACUAACCUGAAGGCAAAAUGAGUCACCUCUGAAAUGGCAGAACAGACACAGAGAGAAUAACCUAGAUUCUUAGUUCUGGCGUUGACUAGUAAGUCAGUUGACUGCAGUCAGCCUGCCCCUAGCUUCUUCUUUGUAGUAACAAACUAUCUUUUUAUUGCAGCAUUAGAGAGGUAUAAUUGGUAAAUAAAUUUCCCAUGCAUUUAAGGUGCAUGAUUUUGUAUUUUGUAAUACAUAUAUACACUGUGAACUGAUCAUGGAGACCAAGCUAAUUAACAUUCAUUACCCACACUAUUAUCUAUUCCCUUUGGUUAAGAUCAUUGGUUCUACCACAGACCUUAGCACAGCUCGACGAUACAGUACAAUAUUGUUAACCACUCUAUGUUUAUCAAGGUACGUUUAUAUGCAUUAAAAUAUAACCACCUGGGCUAAAUGGAGCACAUCUACCAUUCCAACACCUAAGAGGUUGAAGCAGAAAAAUUACGAGUUCAUGGUCAGGUUACCAGUGGCUUAAAGGCCAGUGUGUGCUCCAUAGGUAGCCUCUGUCUCCAACUAGAUAGGUUAAAUAAAUAAAUAAAUUAUGUAGAAUUCUGAAGAGUUUUGACAAGUGUAGUUGAGUUGUUUACUUGUUAUGCAUUGCAGAAGCAGAUCCCUGAUUAAAUUAUUCAUUUUAUUCAGAAAACACUUAUUGUGCAUUAACUAUGCCAGCCAGGUUCUAUGCAGGAUUUAAAAUGAGACAGGCAUGGCCCUAUGCCUCAGGGAAAUGCUCAUUUAUUUUGUAAGGAAUGUAGAAAUGAAGGAUGCUUCCAUAAGAACAUUACCUUGAAAAACGUGACAGAACUUUUGUUUCUUCAUUUUUUUCUCUCUUCCAAUAAGCAUCUGUUAAAAGCUUCUUCUGUGUCUGUCUCUGAUGAUAUCUAGAUAUAUGAAACCACAAAAUGCUCACAUGAAGGCAGGAGUUUACAUUAAAACUUAGGCUAAAAUAAAAUCUAUUCUAGUCAGAGUUCCUAUAUAUCUUUUUAUCAGUACAUUGGUCGCAGCCAAGAUAGACUUGCACUUUGUAGUAGAGUCUCAUUUAUCAGACCCCUGAGGGAGUUAAUCAAUGUCUGGUUUUCUCCUCUUUGUGAUCCCAGAAUAAUUAGAGUCUAAUCUUGUUAUAGGAAGGGCUCAGUAUAAGCAUUUCUUGAAUAAACUAAAUAUCCGUAAUAUAAAUGAGGCAGCUUUAGUGAGCCUUGAAGAUUGCAGCACGUUCUCCCUUAAAGUGUAGAUUCCCUGGCUAAUAUAAUAUGAUUAAGCAAACAUCAAAGGCACAGAUAUUCGUGGAAAUGAACUUAAAUCGGAAAGUUGUUGUUCACAACUAUUUCUUACUCUGGCCCUCUCAGCCAUUAUUUAAAAUGAAUCAGAUAUCCUCUCUCUCUCUCUCUCUCUCUCUCUCUCUCUCUCUCUCUCUCAUUUGUAGAGGAGAAUAAAAAAAGAAGAGAAAAAGAGGAAAGGAAAGGAACAGAAAUGAGGAAAGGAGUCAUCGCUAGCAUUUGAUGAAGAGACAUUGUUUUCUAUCUUACUGAUGUUUGGCCAAAUGAUAAUGAUAUCCCAUUGACCUUCAUCUAGAGGUCAUGUGCCAUGUUGUCUGAAUCUAGCCUUGUCAAAUACCUAUAUAAGUCUCCAUAACAGCCCAGUCUAACAACUAUUCUGGUAGCUAUAAUCUACCACCAUGCUAUGGCUUAGCGACUGGUAUUUGGGAACUUCUGAAGUUGCUAGGAUAUGAAUGAUAUGGUUGGUUUUCCAUAACGGUCUUGUUAAAUCUGUAAUGUUCUCAAACACAAACUCCAAGAACUAGUAAUGCAGACACCACACCUCUUCUUAAAUGGGAUGCACAGCACGACAGCCAGUCAUUUCUUUAUGGGCAUUUGAAGGGGAACAAAGAGACGUUCUUCAAUUGCACCGGCAGUGACCUGAAGCCUUGUCCUUACACUAGCUCUGAACGGUUAGAGUCUUUGUGUUGUCACCUAGGUGCAGGGGCCAGUGGAGGCCUUCAGAUAAAGUUGGAAUCAUGAGGCCCAAGUUCCCAGACUUUAUCAUCCAACCACGGUGGGUUUGAGACCUAAACUUAGAUCCUCUGCAAGGGCAAUAGAUCAGCACACACUUUUAACUGCUGAGACAAUUUUCCAGUUCCAUAAUGUCCAACAUUUUUACUUUUAAGGUUGCUAGGGAGAACCCAAUUCAAAUACCAGAUCUUCUGCCACCUUAUCCUCCAUCUUGGUAAGAGGCUUAGGAGACUAAGAGUUGGAAGAGUCGCCUGGGUUGUAGAAUAAGCCGUCUGUCUUUCCCACUCAAGGGAAGGGCGAUUAUUCAAUAGGUAUUAAGUUGUGAGUCCUAGAUACACUCACCCAAAAAGAUGCCUGAGCAUUGUAAAUACCAAGAACUUCUGCAAGCCAUUCCUGGUUAUCUAUUUAAUUAGAAUGGUUAGCCAUUCUAAUUAUCUAUCAGGCUCUCUGAACUGUAGUAACAGUUCACUGUUAUGCUGUGCAGUAGCCAGCAUAAGGGGAGCAGAACUAGGAGAAGCAGUGUGUGGGAUAGUCUGCCAAAGAAGGGUAUGAAGAUGCGGCCUUAAAACCUUUCAGUCCAGAAAACAUGGUACUGAGCACUCACUGUGGCAAAAGAGACGAGACUGGGAACCCAAGGAAGAUGAACUGUGGAGGGAAAUGGGUGUGCCCAAAGGAAGGCUGCGACAUAAAGGUGGAGGUCAGAUUAGCAGAGUCCUUUUAUAAGAGAUAAUACUCAGAGAGCCACUCAGGAGCAAGGCUGGUCAGUGUGGCUGGUAGGUGGGAAUCUGUGCUUGAAGCUAUCAAGCACCACAGUGCAUCCUGCAUACAACGGACCAGUCCAACAUAGCCACAUGUGUGCAGCAACCUCUUCCAGAUGGAUACUAAGGAUAGAUAUGUGGCUAAUGAUGAUGGAUGGAUGGAUGGAUGGAUGGAUGGAUGGAUGGAUGGACAGACAGAUGGAUAGAUAGGGAAACAUUUUGUACAUGGGUGAAAUGGAUUUUUAGGACGUUGAAGCUUGUGAGAUCCCACAAUCUGUCAUCUGUAAGCUAGUAAAGCAGUCACGAGUCAACACCAGUCUAAUGGUCUGAGAACCAGAGCACCUCUGCUGCCAGGCCCUGAGCCAGCACCAGGAAGACUAAUGUUGAAAGGUAGGACAGGGUGUAUUCUCAAGGAGGUGUGUGUGCUGGAGGAGGAAGGAGAGCGGAGGGGUGUGGGUGUGGGUGUGGGUGUGGGUGUGGGUUUGGGUGUGGGAAUGAGACUCUGAGGGUGAUACCAAGAUGAGUCAUACUCCCACCUUUGGAUUCUAUCUGAUCCUCGGUGCAUUAGAUGGUGACAUCCACCUCACAAUGGCAAGGGUGAUCAUUACUUUGCUGAUUCAAAUAUGAAUGUCUUUCAGCCUUGCUCUCAAACAGGCACACUUAGAAAUGUUGCUUUACCAACUCUGCCUGGACAUCCUUUAACUCAAGCAAAUGAACACAUUAAACUGACCCUCCUAAGAAUCCCAAUCAAUUAACCUCUCCUCAAGGCUAAAGGUCUAGAAUAGUGUCAAUAAGACCAUACCAGCUGACUUUAACUGGGCAAGACCGGGAAGCAAAAGGGUAGGAAGAAAGAUCAAGGGUCACCAUCCCUCCUUGUCCAGACAAGCUGUGUCUGAUCGUGGGCUUAAAAAAAUGCAUGCAUGCCUAAUAUUCAGUACUGCUGCUGCAAUGUACUGGUCAUGUUCUGAAUGUAGGGUCAUGUCCUGAAGCACACUCUUCCAAUGCUAGGAUGGCCUCUUUGUCACGUUCCUGGGAGACCUUUAGAACCAAGGAGCUUAGGUGGCCCAACUUCAAGGGAGGGGAGCAUGAACUCUGGUUCCUGACUAAAACAAAGACUCAUGGAGGUGAGAAGAGGGGAGGAUGGAAGGAAAAUCAACAAAGCAGCCAGAGGCAUGGCCUCUCUGUGGGAACACCCCAAACAGAUCUAUCAGAAUCAAGUGCCUUGUGGAGCCUUGCUACAGAAGAUUCUGUUAUCAGAGAACAUAGAUGAUCCCUGUUCCGGAUGUAGAUUAAAGUCUAGUCAACAGAGAUAAUUUAAUUGGAUGGCAAUGGUAGUUUUAUAAUAAAAGUCAUGUAAAGCUUUAAAGCUAUCAUUUACAAGACUGACCUGGAAGCUGUUUGUUUUGCCUUUGUGAAGCCUUGAGUUCUCCCACUUCUGCUGCUGUGAUAGCUCCAGGGUUCUGCACUGGCCCCUCUUGUCUUUUACUUGCAUUUACCUAACAGAAUGAUCCUGGGAUCCACACACAUGUACAGUCCUUAAUCACCUUCAGAUCCUUCCUGGAAGGAGCCAAUGUGAUGUGGUGGUCCUUCUUGGAGAGCUGCACUGGAUGAAGUAGCCUAUGCUUGUGCAGUGCUUAGUAGCUGGAGUUAGAAGAGACAGACAGAUAGACCAAUGGAACAGAAUUGAAGACCCAGAAAUGAACCCACACACCUAUGGGCAUUUGAUUUUUGACAAAGGAGCCAAAACCAUCCAAUGGAAAAAAGAUAGCAUUUUCAGCAAAUGGUGCUGGUUCAACUGGAGGUCAACAUGUAGAAGAAUGCAGAUCGAUCCAUGCUUAUCACCCUGUACAAAGCUUAAGUCCAAGUGGAUCAAGGACCUCCACAUCAAACCAGAUACACUCAAACUAAUAGAAGAAAAACAAGGGCAGCAUCUCGAAUACAUGGGCACUGGAAAAAAUUUCCUGAACAAAACACCAAUGGCUUAUGCUCUAAGAUCAAGAAUCGACAAAUGGGAUCUUAUAAAACUGCAAAGCUUCUGUAAGGCAAAGGACACUGUGGUUAGGACAAAACGGCAACCAACAGAUUGGGAAAAGAUCUUUACCAAUCCUACAACAGAUAGAGGCCUUAUAUCCAAAAUAUAAAAAGAACUCAAGAAGUUAGACCGCAGGGAGACAAAUAACCCUAUUAAAAAAUGGGGUUCAGAACUAAACAAAGAAUUCACAGCUGAGGAAUGCCGAAUGGCUGAGAAACACCUAAAGAAAUGUUCAACAUCUUUAGUCAUAAGGGAAAUACAAAUCAAAACAACCCUGAGAUUGUGGGUAUAUGCCCAAAAGAUGCCCCAACAUAUAAAAAAGACACGUGCUCCACUAUGUUCAUAGCAGCCUUAUUUAUAAUAGCCAGAAGCUGGAAAGAACCCAGAUGCCCUUCAACAGAGGAAUGGAUACAGAAAAUGGAUACACAAUGGAAUAUUACUCAGCUAUCAAAAACAAUGCCUUUAUGAAAUUCAUAGACAAAUGGUUGGAACUGGAAAAUAUCAUCCUGAGUGAGGUAACCCAAUCACAGAAAAACACACAUGGUAUGCACUCAUUGAUAAGUGGCUAUUAGCCCAAAUGCUUGAAUUACCCUAGAUGCAUAGAACACAUGAAACUCAAGACGGAUGAUCAAAAUGUGAAUGCUUCACUCCUUCUUUAAAAGGGGAACAAGAAUACCCUUGGCAGGGAAUAGAGAGGCCAAGAUUAAAACAGACACAGAAGGAACACCCAUUCAGAGCCUGCCCCACAUGUGGCCCAUACAUAUACAGCCACCCAAUUAGACAAGAUGGAUGAAGCAAAGAAGUGCAGGCCGACAGGAGCCGGAUGUAGAUCUCUCCUGAGAGACACAGCCAGAAUACAGCAAAUACAGAGGCGAAUGCCAGCAGCAAACCACUGAACUGAGAAUAGGACCCCCGUUGAAGGAAUCAGAGAAAGAACUGGAAGAGCUCGAAGGGGCUUGAGACCACUUAUGAACAACAAUGUGAAGCAACCAGAGCUUCCAGGGACUAAGCCACUACCUAAAGACUAUACAUGGACUGACCCUGGACUCUGACCUCAUAGGUAGCAAUGAAUAUCCUAGUAAGAUCACCAGUGGAAGGGGAAGCCCUUGGUCCUGCUAAGACUGAACCCCCAGUGAACGUGAUUGUUGGGGGGAGGGUGGCAAUGGGGGGAGAAUGGGGAGGGGAACACCCAUAAAGAAGGGGAGGGGGAGGGAUUAGGGGCAUGUUUGCCCGGAAACCGGGAAAGGGAAUAACACUCGAAAUGUAUAUAAGAAAUACUCAAGUUAAUAAAAAAAAAAAGGAAAAAAAAAGAAGGAAUCUCUGUGAGCAAAGAUCUGUGUGCCUUUGUAUACAGCAGUCUUCUCUGCAUCUAGAACAUUUCUAGGUACAAAGCAGGUGCUCAGUACAUAACCUGACACUGAAUGAGGGCACUUGAUGUGAUGGUUCGAAUGAGAAUGGCCCCAAUAGGCUCACAGGUUUGAAGCUUGGUUCCCAGUUAGUGGAACUAUUGGGGGAGGAUUAAGAGGUGUGGCCUUGUUGGAGGAGGUGUGUCACUGGGGUUGGGAUUUUAGGCUUCAAAAACCUAAGCCCCCUCACCCCCCAUGGAUCAGGGUUUAAAGUUCUCAAGACCACCAUGAUAAUCAUGAACUAACACAUGAAAACUAUAAACGACCCCCCUAAUUAAAUGUCUUUUCUUAAAUAUGAGAGUUGCCUUGGUCAUGGUGUCUCUUCACAGCAAUAAAAACAAUAACUAAGAUACUUGGUUUGCAGAAAGGGUUGCCUCUUGCAUUUCUUCUUUAGAGUUAAGCUGCUUCCUGUUUUAUUUGGGACUGAAUCAAAGCAGGUCAGGGCCAUCUACACAUACCUUUCCUUUUUCCUGCACAUAUUUUUCAUCUUGUCCCCGAAGCCUAGAGAACAUCCUUAAGGUGGUUGACAUGCGUAUUUGCCUGUUUCUCACUCUGUCUGUGGAGCACUCCCGUAAGGCUCCUCCUGCACUAUCACUCGCAGCCACCCGAGCUUCAACAGCACCAGGUUCACGUCACCUCGGAUCACAUUACUCAGCCAGUGAGUUACACUGUGUUCUUGGUUUUAGGCCUUCACAUAAGAUAGUCUUCCUUCCUCCCCCCCCCCCCAGUAGCUUUAUUCUCUUGAUACCAGUUAGAUCUUCAACCUUCAGAUUAGAUGCAACUUUCAUUGAUUUUCUCAUCUAGAUAAGGUACCCUUAUUAUAAGUUCCCAUAAUGCUCCACGCAUCCCCUUCAUGUCUUUUAAGCACAUGAGUUUGUCUUUGUCCUUCUGAUGUUUUGUAGAAUUCUUGAAAGGCAGGACUGACUCUGUCUUUGUCUCUUUGUCUCUCUGUCUCUCUGUCUCUCUCUCUGUCUCUCUCUCUCUCCCUCUCUCUCUCUCUCUCUCGCUCUCGCUCUCGCUCUCUCACUGUUUUAUUCAGCAUGCUAUCCCCGUAGCCAAUAAAUGCUCACAAAGAUAUAUGUAAACAAACAUCACACAAAGAACAUACAGAAGCAAGCGCUAUACCGGGUUGUACAGAUCUGGUUUCCAGACUAAUGGUCUUAGGUCAAGGAAUCUACCUUCUUAGAUAAAAAAAUCUUAGAGCCUUAAUUUUUGUUAUUCAGAAGCCUUUCUGUUAAGGUCAAUUUGGACACAGCAUGAGACAUGAUUCUAAGAGUGACUCUUUCAUAAACAAUCUUAAUCAGUUUAAUGAUUCCCAUUACAGAGAUGUACAAUCCAUAUCAGAGGUGGGGCAUUGGCCAGAUCUGAUCCAGGAUAGGGUACCAAGGAUGAUAGGACCCACGACAUGAGGCACAGAUAGUGGGAGCAGAGAGUAUGAUGACCUGGCAUUGAGCAUGGGGACCCACACCAUGUGUAAUAGAAGCAGGACCCAGGCAGUGGUAUGUUCACUCUGGAUAACUAUUAUUGUAGACAGUAGCUGAUUCUCAGAGAAAGACUAAUCCUCAGGGCCUGUAUUUCAGAAUGUCGGUCCCAUUGAAGAAAAUAAUACCCCAACCCUACUAAUACUUGAACUUCUCCUGAACAUUGCAAACACAUCCACAGAAAGAAGAAAGACAACUUGAACAAAAAAAAAAUGGAAAACAAAACAAACCAAAAUACCCAAAAAGGCUCAACCAAUAAACAAACUCUAGAUGUCCAGGUACCAGAGCAGAAAGAAGGACAUGAAAAACCGAGACACAAUUCCUCUGAGGUUACCAAUCCCUCACAAUGCCCCUAGAAGAAUGACUUAGAAAACUUCUAGACAAAAACUUCAGAAGAGUAAUUUUAAACAUGCCCCAGCAACUCAAAAAAGACAUAAGUACACUCCAAGAAAACAAAACCACUAGAGACUAAUGAUUUCGUUAUAAAAUGUGAUUAAUUAUUAAUAAGGUUGAACACCAAAAUAAGCUGCCCUCAUUUAUCCAUUUAGAACAGGUAGUAGUCAACAAGUGGCUGAUAACGUUUCCUUCACCGUACUUUAAUGGAACUAUACUCUCUGCCUCCAAAUUUGUGAUAACCAAUUAGUGUAAGAUAGUAGUAUAAUUAGUACCUGGGAAGGAGAAAAAUAUUAGAAGUGUAUACAGAGAAGUUGUGUGAACAUAGGAAACCAUGCCAGAUAAAGGGAAGAAACAAUGGAUUUGCCUUUCGGAGCCAUGUGUGAAUGGAUUUGUAGAGGAGUUUUUGAAGGAUCUAGAACUACACCAUACUUCGUUUCCUCUCUCGGUUUUAGAUACUGAUACAAUGCCCUGGCUGCUUUGUUUUGGAGAUAAUCUCUUCUAUGCCUGGAGCCAUUUCUAGGACAAUGUGACUCAGUGAACGCUGGAUUACCUCUGACUUGAUGGUACCUGUGAAUCACCCAUUGAAAGUUGGAAAUGUUUAAUGAUUAGAUUUUAGAGAUCAUAGAAGGUGAGAAAACAGUCUAAGUUAGAUGAUAGACACUUAAUAUUGAUCGGUGUUUAGUUACCACCAGUAACUGGACUCUGGGACAAUUCUAUUUCUCUGCUGUUGUUUCCCUAUUGUAAGAAACAGUUUGUUCUUAUGACUGAGGGGGAGUUAGUGUCUCACACUGAGGUCCCUCUAGGGUUACUGGGUAAGCUGGUCACCAUUACCACUGUUUUCAUUUGGUUUUGCCUGUGUAGAAUUAAGGUGUUGUUAUCACCCCUUGGGCUGACAGUAUUUCUUUAUGCGUUAGGUUUUAUUUUCAUAUUCUUUCAUUGGUUCCUUUAACAUUGGUAACUCGUAACCAUUUUAAAGAUGAAGGAAACUAAAUUAACUCUCAGCUCUAUAAAGAAACUUCCCACAGUUUUACAUAACGGAAUUUUGACAGCAAAGAUGUAAAAGAAAUUGAUACAGUUUGGAGUCAAUGAGUGCCAGCUGGCUGAUGGGCUGGUUGUUCCUGUGUUUUCCUGUUGUCAACUAACACAACAUAUUGGCCUCUAUCUGAGAGACACAGAGUUUGGCUAAUUCCAUGUAGUUGACAGCAAUGCAGCCAUACUAGAUACUUUAGUGUUCGAUGACUGCGAUACCGGACAGAAACAGUUUACAGGAUUAAACCAUUUUUAUCAGUUUGCAGUUUCAGAGUUCAGUCCAUCAUAGAGAAUUCAUGACUACUCAGUUCAGGGCAGCAGGAGAGUGUGGCGGAGGCUGUUUACAUUACGGUUGACCAUGAAGCCAGAACACAGAAGAACAAAAUUCAAACUGGAAACACAUUUCACUCUCCUGACACAGAAGGCCGCCCACCAGGAAACAGGGCCAUUUGCUGACUUGGAACUUCAGGCUUCCAUUUCCCCAAUCCUUGUUCUGAUAGAGAGGGCGCUAGCUUCAGGAACAGUCACUGCUACAGAUACAUCGCAAAUCACAGCAGAAAGUCGGGCUCGCCACAUCCCCGUCUCUAAAGCUGAUACCACCUUUAUGACAAUACAAAGAUGCAUGUGUGCCCUGUCAGAUCAAGAUGUGAACUCUUAGCUGUUCCUGCAACCAUGCCUUCACUUCACCAUCAUAGACCUAAUCCUCUGAAACCAUAAACCUAAUUAAACAAUUAAAUGCUUUCCUUUAUAUGUUGACUUGAUCAUGGUGUUUGUCAGAAGUAGAAAAGUGACUAAGACAAUAGUCAAAUACAUUAUUUUUGUGAGCCAAUAAUUUUAUAUUAUUAUACAAAGAUUCAAGCCAGAGAGAAGUAAUUAAUUCACUUUAAGUAAAUAUUCUCCUCAAUAAUCUGAGUUGGACUCAUCCAAUGACUGAAAAGGACCUAAAGGAAAAACGAAACUUAUCUUAAUAGAAGACAUUUGCUGAGAACUAGAGUGUCAGCUCCCAUUCAAAGAUUUUCAGCAUCUUUGGUUGUCCCUACAGUCACAUAAGACGAUCUUUUAAAACAAAAUUUAUUAUCACACCGAAACUAUUCUGUUUUCCUUUAUAGAACUGACAUGGAUUUUUUUUAAUAUGAGGGAGCAAAAUUCUGCUAUAAUAGACACAAAUCUUUAGGAGUAGCUUUUGAAUUGGGUAACAGGAACAGGCGCGAUAGGAAAAUCUGAUGUUGAGCUUUCAUAGUACUGGAAUGUGUCAUUGAGUUGCUAGGAGCAGAGAGGAGGCAUCAUCAGCUUAACCCAGCUCUGAACUCUGUGAAUUACAAUAAUGAUUAGUUUGGAAAGAUAUGCACAUGGGUACAAUAGCUGCAUGAACUCCUAGAACCCAUGGUUGUUUGCAGAAUAUCUACAUAAGAUCAAGCCAGUCAGAAUUUUAGCAUGGAGUGAGGAAGAGUUCAUGGGCCUCCAGUCAUAGCUAAGGAUCCACAGAUAGAUGAUUGUUUUCUAGUGGAACUAGCAUACGUCUUCUUUAUGAUCGUAGUCCCUGGAAGAGUGAUCACAUUUCAGUGGAUGGCCUCAUAUCUAUGAGUAUAUGAGCAGCACAAACUAAACUCAAUGGAUUAAUCUUUUAAAAGAGGACAAGAAUUUUGGAGUUGUGGAGAUGUAGGAGUGGAUCUGAUGGAGUUAAGAAUGAGGAAGGGGAUGAUUAUUAUCAAAACACAUUGUAUGAAAUUCUCAGAAGAAUUAGUGAAAGCUUAAAGGACAAAGAAAUAUCUAAUGUUGCCUUGAAGAGCUAGAAAAAAGGAAUCUUAGGUCAGGUCCCAGAAGCAAAUGAGGUCAUAUUGGAAAGUACAGAAAGACAACACUUUUGAUAAAGUGGUAGAAAAUUUGUCUUGUUAGGUGGAAGCCGCAAAUAAUGAAGUUGGACAUUUAUCAGAAAAGAUUUUUCAAGCAAUGUGUGGAAGGGGUUGUCUGGUUUCUCUUUGCCAUGUAGAGAAAAUAAGAGAGGCAGGAAGAGAGUAAAGAAGAAAUUCUUAAGCAUUAGCCUUGGAUGAUUUAAGAGAUUUUUCUUGUUAUCCAGAUUGCAAAGAAUGCUGAAAAGAAGAAAUGUGCUGUUAAGCAAAUGUGCUCUGGAGAGACAGCCAAGGGCACAUGAGGACAGUCUUUGGAGAGAUUAGGCAUUCGACUCAUGGAUACACUCCCUCAUGUUGGAAGAAGCCAGAAAUAGUGAAGGGCUGCCUUAUCAAAGUAUAUGUGGGAAACUAUUGUCUCUCCGAGUGACUCUCCUUGGUAUACACAGAUGGCCUAUGCUGUCUUGGAGGAUUAUACCCAGGAACAUCUUAGUCUGAAAUUGAACAGAGGAUGGACAAAAUGAAAAAGUAUUUUCAGAUUCUCUUAAUUAAUGAUAAAUUCUGCAGCUGCACAGAUGUGCCAGCCGUCAGGAAUGACUCACUGGAUAGAGCCCUGGGCCCAGGGCUAGGGGUGAUAAUGCAGCUGCUGAGGGCACAGGCACAGGAGCUGUGGUCCCAGAGGAUGGACCUGAGAACCAAAGAGGAGCGCUCAGGGACACUGAAAUCCAGAGGGUUUUUUCUUGCUUAGUUUUGGAUGUGUGUUACACCGGAGCACCCCUUAAUUCCGUCCAUUUUCUCCCUUCUGGGGUGAAAACAUGUAUGUUUUACCCGUGUGUUUUAGAGACAGGAAACUUAUUUUCUGGUUAAUUCAGUCCAUCAUAGGAAAAUGAUCUCUCUGCUCAAGAUGGAGUAUUCUCAGAGUGUUGCCUAUAUGUGACUUAGAUGACCUAGGUGGUUAGAGGGAGGGCUUUUGAGAGGUAAUCUACAUCACAUUUUGCAUUUCAACUUGUGGGGAUUUAAAACAUUUUGAUCACACUGGCUAGUUUGACAUUAACUUGACACAAGUUGGAGUCAGCUAACAAAACGAAACCUCAACUGAGAAAAACGCCUCCACAGGUCCGUCUGUAGGGCACUUUCUUAGUUAGUCACCAACGGAGUAGGGCCCAGCCCCUUGUGAGUCAUCCCUAAGCUGGAGUUAAGUUCAUGGGGUCUGGGUGACACAGAUUUCAUUUUACUGGAACAGAGGUGCUAUGAUGGCUUUAAGUUGAAGCAGAGGAAACAAAGACAAUUCCUUUAAGGAGCUCCACUCUGAAGAGGAAGAGAUACAGAGUAGAGAAAUCACUGGAGCAGCAGUUCUCAAGCUUCCUGUCCCCGUGUUCUUUUAAUGUAGCUCCUCCUGAUGUGACAGCCCUUUAGUUCCUCCUGUUGCGGUGAACCCCAAACAUAAACUCUUUUGUUACUACUUCAUAGCAGUAGUUUCCCUACCGUUGUGGAUUGUAGUGUAAAUAUCGGAUAUGCAGGGUACCUAGAGGCUACCCCACAAAGAGGUCGAGACCCACAGGCUGAGAACCACUGCGCUGGAGUGUAACCAUUUAAGGAUGGGUUAAUCAUAGGAAAGUUUUAAACAACAUUUUAAUGAUGUAGCCAUAAAGACAAAGACAUGUUAAAAAUAAGCUAGUGUGUGUAUGUGUGAGUGUGAGUGUGUGUGUGUGUGUGUGUGUGUGUGUGUGUAUGUUUGUUUCAUUCUCUUAUCCAAGAUAGCUUCUGGGCAGGUGGGCAUGCAUGCGACCCGCCAGGAGCCAAAGCAGUGAAGCAAAAACUCCUGCUCUCGCUCUCUCGCUACAUUGUAAAGAUAUUUAUUAUACUCUUUCCCUCACUUUGUAUACUUGUUGCUUGCUAUGAGGUCUUUCUGAAUCCCAGGGAGGGGUUGCAGAGAAGUGAAAUUUUCAGUGCCCAAACUGAAAUAACCCCAAGUGAAUUCAGAGGAUCGUGUCUUCUAGCAUUAAAAGAGGUCCUUGCAUUUUGAGAGGUUUGACUCCACUUCUUGUAGGUGAGUGACAUUGAGAGACAGCCCUGCAUUCUUACAACUGUGCAUAACUACCCUCACUCCUGAAGAAUCUGCAAUGGAAUCCUGGGUGUCCUAGGGUGUUUUUUCGGGGGUGAGACAUCAGGGCGACUCCUAUGGAGGAAAACAUCUAAGUGGGGCUGACCUACAGUUCAGAGGUUUGAUGCUAUUGUCACGGUGGGGAGCAUGGCAGCACCCAGGCAGACAUGAUGUUGGAGAAGCAGCUGAGAGCUCUACAUCUGGAUCAGCAGACCGUGGGAAGAGAGAGUGACAAUGGGCCUGGCUUGAGCAUCUGAAACCUCAAAGCCCAGCUCCAAUGACACAUGUCUUCCCUCAAGGCCACACCUCCUAAUUGUGCCACUCCCUCUGAGCCUAUGGGGGGGCAUUUUUGUUCAAACUGCCACAGUGAGGGAUACCUUUGUCCCUCUGUGCCUCCCUUUUCCUUACUACAGCCUUUCCUUCCCUCUUACUGGGAAAUAUGUAAGCAUAAAAAAAAAUAUUUUUCUGGUCCCCAGCUUCACGUCAGAGAGGAAGAACAUGAGUGUCAUCUGAAUAGUCUAGACAAAGAUACCCAUGGUUACUGUCAAUUUGAAUGUAAUAGAAAUAUGUGUGGGUCAUGGAUAAUUUGCACGUUACUCCCUUAUGCACAUGAAAAUACAUGUGCGAAAAAGUGGGUUUUGUGAGCCAAGGGACCCUAUGAUAAAUGCACCAUUUGCAGCCAACAAGGAAGACAGAACAUGUCCCCAGAUCUAGCUGUCUCCCUUGGAUGGAAUCUGGAGAGUUCCUUGGCUGGAUCCCUAAGAACCAUCUUUAUUUGCAAUUUUAAAUUUGCUAAGGAUUGGUUUAACAGUCCUCAAAGAUCUCCCUGUGAGUGCCCGUCUAUACCUGAAGUCCCCUUGACUUUGUUGCUGGUAGAUUACUAACCCUCUCCCUACCCUGGGGCCAGAGGGAGAGCAGCUGCUAGAGCGUGGCUUAUGGCUUGCCUAACUUGCCAGAGCACAGAUCUCACCAGCUUCUUCCACCUUUCCCCUGGUCCACAUCUGCUUACUUUUACCUGUGGUAAUUAGGCAUCCUUCUCUGCUACUGAACCUCCCCUCUUGUCACAGGCAUGCCACCUCAGGGGACAUUAGAUCAUGACAUCUUUCCACCUAGUUGAGUAGGAGAUUAAGUUUUUCCCAAUAGGCUCGUUUUCCUAGAGCUACCCCCACCAGACAGGCCAUGCCUUCCAAAACAGAAACGAGAAGCCUAAGUGAAAACUUGCAAGGAUGCUAACUUUCUUUAGGACCUAAGCUUUUUAUAUCUCCACCAAUCCUGUCUCAGAGGAAGACGGUGUUGCCCCCGAGACUGGCAGAGUGCAUGCACUCAUUGCUCAUUUACGAUUGUAUCCAUGAGUCCAACCCAAAAGGCUCUGCAAAGGUUCAGAUACGUUGAAUAGAGAGCAAACCUAAACACCACGCUCACAGUCUCUUGAAUCACACUGCAGCCAUACUCCAGUGUGCCGCCAACUGUGGACAGUAGUAUUUGCAAGGAUAAGAAAGAGUCUGGGUCAAGUAGAGAGAAAGACUGUGGCAGGUUCAUGGGUCGUGAUCAUGACACCAUCUGUUAUACAGACUGCCUAGAUAAUGCAGUCCGUCUAGAAGAGGCUGAGGCUGCCGUGGGAAGGCCUUGGGAGACUUUCAGUUUGGGAGACAGCAAUAUCUUGAGCUGCCAGCGGGAACUCUGGGCAAUGCUUUGGUUGUCGUUAGGUUGUUGUGGUUAUACAGACUGCCUAGAUAAUGCAGUCCGUCUAGAAGAGGCUGAGGCUGCCGUGGGAAGGCCUUGGGAGACUUUCAGCUUGGGAGACAGCAUUAUCUUGAGCUGCCAGCAGGAACUCUGGGCAAUGCUUUGGUUGUCGUUAGGUUUAGGAUUGUUAAAGUCACAUUUUAUCCAGCUGUCUUUGAGGGUGACCAGACCUCACAAAGCCAACAGUCCCUAACUGGGUGUUGUCUGGCAUUGCAGAAUGCCAGAGAAAACUGUUCAGCUUCCUUGACUUGAAUAUUCUCAGAACCAGGCAAGGAUCUUUGUAUCCUCCUCUCUUCACAGCUUUUAAUUCGUUUAGCAGCGGUUUGCAAACCAAGUUCUACGGGGCAAUCAAUGUUCCAUGCCCUAACUAGUGGUUAUGUGCUAAUGCAUUCUGCCACUAAAACAGAAUAAAGGAAGUUAUGUUUCAAUUCGCAGAGAAAACACAGUUGCAAAGUGGCCCUAUAAGGGACGCUUCCAUAAGUGUUUGCAGCCCUUUAACAUCCAAGUGAACGAUUAGUUCAUAAAAAUAAAAAAACAGGACAUAUUAAUUAAAAUGACUAAAAAUAUGCCUCUUAGCUAAAGCCAACAUUCAUGUGGGCAAUUCAGUCCAUUGCUGUCUGGCUUUAGCUUUGCCAUUCAUGAAAUGUGCAUGUAAAAGUACUUAGCAUUGAAUAAUUUUCUUAAAUGAUAUAAUUUAGAAAAUAUUUUAGUAGUAAUUUGUACAUGUUACACACUCAAAAAUAACCCCGUUUUAAUCAAUAUGGAUACUUCAGGAGUAUAAGGCAAGAAAAAGAAAUAAGAGAGAUUCAAAUAGGAAAGAGUCAAUUACCUGUGUACAGGCAAAAUAAUACUGUACUUACAGUUCUAUAAACUCAUUAAGAAACUCUUAGUUCUGAUCAAUACAUUCAGCACACAAAAGUCAAUAAUGGGCCAGCAAGAUGGCUUAGCAGGUAGAGGUGCUUGCCACCAAGCAUAACCUGAGCUUGAUCCCUGUUCUCAUGGAGAGGAAGGAAAGAAUUAGCUCUUGGAAGUUAUCCUCUGACCUCCACAUGUACCCUGGCAUUGCCCUAUAAACAGACAAACACACAAACAAAUAAAUACAGUGGUAAUUUAAAAGCCCUCAGCUUUUCUACAUACCAUUAGCAGAUGUGCUGAGAAAGAAAUCAUGGGGAAAGUCUCACUCAUGGUAGCCACAAAGAAAAACAAGCAAGGAAACAAAACUCUCCUGAAGAAAUCUAACAAAGGAGGUGGAAGAUCUCUACAAUGGAGGACCUCUACGUAGAAAGAUGUGCUAUGCUCCUGGAGCAGCAGAAUUAACAUUGUGAAAUGCCUAUUCCUCAGCAAAGUUCCAACAGCAUUCUUCACAGAAAGAGAAAACAAUCCUAAAGUUCACAUAGAAGCACAAAGACUCCAAAUAACCAAAUCUAUCGAGAGAAAAACAGCAAGCCAACCAACCAAUCAGCUUUCGUUUAAUCAAGGUUUUACUGCUGUGAACAGACACUAUGACUAAGGCAACUCCUUUGAGGACAACAUUUAAUUGAGGCUGGCUUACAGGUUCAGAGGUUCAGUCCAUUUUCAUCAAGGUAGGAGCAUGGCAGCAUCAAGUAGGCUUGGUGCAGGAGGAGCUGGGAGUUCUACCUCUUGUUUCUAAAGCAGCUAGAAGAAUACUGACUCCCACAUGGUUAGAAGGAGGGUCUCAUUGCCUAUCCUCCAUUGACAUAUUUCCUCCAAAAAGGCCAUACCUACUCCAACAAGGCCACAACUCCUGAUAGUGCCACUCCCUGGGCCAAACAUAUUCCAACUACCACACCAACCAACCAACCAACCAACCAACCAACCAACCAACCAACCAGCAAACAAACAAAAAGCCUGCAUUGGGGGUAUCACAAUACCUAAUUUCAAACUAUACUGUUUAUCUUUAUUAACAGAAGCAUUAUGAUACUGAUAGAAAAACAGACGUAUUGAGUAACUCCAUGAGCAUAGCACUUCUUUCUAUGUAGAGGUCCUUCACUGUGGAGAGCCAUCAUCUCCUUUGUUAGAUUUCUAUUUGUUUUCUCCAUUUGUUUUCUUGUUUCUAGUUUUAGUUUGUGGCUAUUGUAGCAAUUUGAUUUUCAACCAAAGGGGAAAAACAAACAAACAAACAAACAAACAAACAAACAAACAAACUACACUGGGAACAGAAACACAAAUGGUGUUGAGGAAAACGAGGUAUCUGCAUGUAGAAGGGAAACAUUAGAUUCCUGUCUCUUACCCCACCAAAAAAUGUAUCAAAGACUUAAGGCAAAGCCCAGAGCUUUGAAUUGAGACACAGUUGUGAGCAGCAACCCAAUGCUGGGCAUGUGGGAGACAAAGUUUUUCUGCCCUGCAUGUUCAAUCAGUGUAGGUCUGGGCAAGUGACUCAGGUCUCAUAAGGGAGGCAGUCUGAGAAAUAAAGGUAUCUAUGGCCAUCUCUCCAUACUCCAUUGAGCUGCUCAGGCCCAAGUGACUGAUGAAAUACACCGUUAAUGCCACCUGCUCACGUGGUGUUAAGUUCAUGUUCUUUUUUUUUUUUUCCGGAGCUGGGGACCGAACCCAGGGCCUUGCGCUUCCUAGGCAAGCGCUCUACCACUGAGCUAAAUCCCCAACCCCUAAGUUCAUGUUCUUAAGCCCCAGUUUCUGCAGCUUUUGAUUGCAGAGGAGUUUAUAAGCAAGUGUUCACUGGGCCCUGAGUAUGAGUCCUAUACUUGGCCAGGAGCUUUGAGUGUUAGCUACAAAUAAGGAAAACAUAUAUUCAAUGGUUCUAACUUUAAAGACAUUAUAAUCUAGCUGCAGAGACUAUAGUGGUGCAAAUUAAUCAAGUUUGGGGAAAAUUCAGAAUGAUGCAAAUGUUUUGUAAAUAGGUAAAACUGUUGUCUGGAUCCAUAUAGAUAUAAAGACGUAGAGUAUAAUACACUCACACAUGCAACUCUGUCAUACAAAUUAGGAAGAAUUGGAUAAAUGAACCAAUAUGCGUCUGUGGGUUUAAAAUUUUCUAUUGCAAUAACUUCCUAUAGUUCAAGCUCAUUUUCAAAAAAAAUUUCAAAUAGUCUAUUUCUGCAACUCUCUUUGAAAAGACUCUCUUUUACAAAAUACAAUAUUUCUCUGAAAUAUUUGUUCUCAAGGCCUUUCAAAACCACAACAGAAGUGGUUAUUACAAUUGCAGAAAGUUUGAGUAUACUGUGAUAAAUGUCCUCAGUUUCUAACCUGAGCAUGCAUGAGGCCCUGGCUACUUGUCUCUCACAGGCUGCCAUUCUCCCAACACCUUGCUACCUGCUUUGCAAUAUGCAGUUCAGUCUGGUUCUACCAUUCACUCAAAGGCUAGGAGUUUCAACAGUCAGCCCUUUGGUUUCUAAUAUGCUCAGAUGAACUAUAAUGAUCCUGUGGGGGGUCUGAACCUGCUUAGCUCAGGGAGGGGCGUUAUUAGGAGGUGUGGCCUUGAUGGAGGAAGUGUGUCAAUGUGGGUGGUGGGCUUUGAGACCCUCCUCCUAGGUUGCUCAGGCUUCCUUUAGAUGAAGAUGUAGAACUCUUAGCUCUUCCUGCACCAUGCCUGUCUGGACGCUGCCAAGGUCCUGCCUCGAUGAUGUUGCACUGAACCUCUGAACCUAUAAGCCAGCCCAAAUUAAAUGGUGCCCUUUACAAGAGUUGUCUUGGUCAUGGUCUCUCUUCACAGCAAUGAAACCCUAACUAACACAGAAGUUGGUGCCAGGGACUAGGGGAUUGCAAUGAUAGGCCCGACCAUGCUUUUGUUUGGAGGAAUGGGGAUUUGAGACUUUGGAAAGCAGUGGAGUGCUUUAAGUGGUGCUUAAUGUCUCUCCUAGUAAGAAUAUGGAAGACUUUGUUGUUAAGAGUGGUUAGAACUGUGGAAGCCUGGCUAUAGAGGUUUCAGAGGAGGAGAGUUUUAGCAUGUGGCCUGUUUUUGUGAUAUUUUGGUGAGGAAUGUAAUUGCUUUUUGCCCUUGUCUGAAGAGUCCGUCUGAGGCUAAAGUGGAGAGACUCAGAUUAAUUGCACUGACAAAGGAAGUCUCAAAACAACCCAGUUUAUACUUUGUGUUGUGGUUUAGUCUCAUGAAGAGCAUUUUGAUGAAGCAUGGCAAGCUUAAAAAGAAAAAAAUACAAAAUAUAUGAUUCAAGUAUUGAAGGAGCACAAGAAAAAAGAAUAGACCUGAAUCUUAUGUUCUAGGAAAUAAACAAAUUGAGGGAGUGGUGACUUUGAAAGAAGUUCAGACAUGGUAUUACACAUCUUUAAUCCCAGGAGACAGCCCAGCAGAUGUCUAAGUUCAAUGUCAACCUACAGAGCAAGUUUUAGGACAGACAAGCUUAGGCAUUAAAGGAGUUGGAAAACAGAAGGCUAGUGAUAAUGUAAUAGAACAAGGGAACCAUGUUUUAACCACAGCAAGGAGCAGAAGUCAGCAGCUUUGACCAUGCGACUCUGGCUUUAGAAUCAAGAGUAGAAAGAGAAUGCUGGGACACUUGAUGCUGGUCAGCCGGAGCUAAGAAAUUAGUGGUUUUUAAGAAGAGACCAGCAUCACUGAGGCAAAAUCUUCUGGGAAAUAUUUUCUGAGAGUACAAAGAAGUAGCCAUGGUUGUAUUCUGUGCUUAGACUUGGUAAUAUGUAAUAAUCGUCAGGUAGUACUGCUUUUUUGAAGUCAUGAAGGGGUCAUGGAGAGCACCUGAAAGUUGGCACUGUGAGAGGCCAUGGAAAGCCACUGGUGAAGGUGCACACCCAGUUGCAGUUGACGGCCCAGAACUGAAAGGGUCAUGCAAAGAAGUUCAGGCUUAGCACCAUGAAGAGGGCCUAUGAGAGGCUGUUGUUGAAGCCUAGUUCCAGUGGAAGAUCCCAGGGUACUGGAGAUGCCAGUGUCGUGGGAUGAUCACCAAGAACAGCAGCAACAGUGGAGCAGAGUCAACCAAAACCGAGAGUGUUACAGAGAGCAGAACUGGAGAAGUGACCCAAGCUCUUUUGAGAAUCCCAGACGUUCAUGUGUGCCUAUCAGAUAUCGGAACAAGAAGCUGUACCAUUGAAGUUGACUUGGGUAUCCCAAGAUGUUAAAAUUGCCAGAGCCAUGGGACACCUGCCAAGAAAAGCUGCUAAGGGGGUGGGACCAGCCCAGGAGAGAGAGAAGUCUUUUGCAGUCAACAAAGAUGAAAGGAGUUGGAGAAAUGAAGAUUGUAAACCAGACAUGGAGAUGCAGAGUUCGGAAUUCACCCAGCUGGUUUUUUUGGUCUUGUUUUGGUUCUAGCAUUUCCUCACUAUAACAUUUUGGGAUAGUAAUUUAUAUACUGCGAUGUUGGAGGUGUGGGAUCUGUUUUUUUAUUCUUGAUUUUAUAGGCGAUCACAGUGAAGUGAUUAGAUGAACAUCAGAAUAGACUUUGAAAUUUGGACUUCUAACAUUUUGGGGAUGGUUAUAAACUAUGAGGACUUUCGAAGUUGAACUAAAUGUUUUAGCAUUAUUCUAUGCUUUGGUAUGUGUCCCUUAUGUGUUUGAACAAACCUACAGGGACCAUGGAGUGGAAUGUGGUGGUUUGACUAUGCUUGGCCCAGGGAUUAGGAGAUGUGGCCUUGUUGGAGUGGGUAUGGCCUUGUUGGAGAAAGUUUGUCACUGUGUAAGUGGGCUUUGAGGUCUCCUAGUGCUCAAACUCUACCCAGUACUGAAGAGACCUCCUCCUUGCUGAAGACAGUCUCUUCAUGGUUGUCUUCAGAUCAAGAUGUAAAGGUCUUGGCUCCUUCAGCACCAUGCCUGCCUGCACACUGUCAUUUUCUUGCUUUGUUGAUAAUGGACUGGACCUCUGAACCUGUACGCCAGUCCCAAUUAAAUGUUAUCAUUUAUAAGUGUUUCCUGACUCAUGGUAUUUCUUUAUAGCAAUGGAAACCCUAAGUAAGUCAGAUCCUAUUGGUGAUUUCAUAUCACUUCCUGGCAUAUAUACUCCAAACAUAUUUGACUAUUGGAACGAAUUGGAAGCAAAGUGAGAGAGCAGGAGGGGAGUCCAUUGUGACACUCUGGACUCAUAUUGGACAGCCCCUUACAUUUCUUUAUUGUGCAUGUAGUAAGACAGUUUCCUGCUAAUUAAUAGGAAUUUUGAUUUAAGGGUUUAAGGCUAUGUUUUAGGACAAAUAUUCAGGACAAAUUCUUCAGUUGAAUACGCUUGAAAGACAAGUUGCUUAAUUUAUUGUUUCUUUUCUUGCCUUCUUUGAGUAAUUAAAUUUAGAUGACUUGUAAUCCUGAUUAGGGGUAAGCUGUUUGUACUUGAAAAUACCAUGCUGGUUUUCAUAAGACAUAUUUGUGUUCUGUUGUAGUGAUUAUAGCACAAACCAAGACUGAAAAGUCAGAUCAGGGUUGGAAGCAGUUAGCAGAUGCAGGUGG
This is a non-coding RNA of Rattus norvegicus (Norway rat), 22865 nucleotides long. The record is from RefSeq and is a predicted model, not a curated record. NCBI's taxonomy places the organism in Eukaryota, Metazoa, Chordata, Mammalia, Rodentia, Muridae.